RNAcentral lists this non-coding RNA (173 nucleotides) under human gut metagenome. RNAcentral describes it as "6S / SsrS RNA". It matches the Rfam family "6S / SsrS RNA". Rfam says of the family: E. coli 6S RNA was the first non coding RNA to be sequenced, but its function was unknown until recently. It consists of 184 nucleotides that fold into an extended hairpin structure with a large single-stranded internal bulge. RNAcentral also lists the same sequence under 1 other name. The record is from RNAcentral.
UUCCUGAAAUGUUCGACACUCCUGUUUAUUUUGAACCUACAUUAUGACGUCAGGGAUUCCAAUAUUUUUAAGCGGAUGUCAGGCCUCCUUUUGAGUGGAAGGCAGAAGUUUAAGUGAGGUUGCCCACCUAGCAAGGCUAGGAGUCAAUUUUGCAGGAAACGGCAUUUUGGGAU